Molecule: long non-coding RNA, 6708 nt
Filed under: Triticum aestivum (bread wheat)
Lineage: Eukaryota; Viridiplantae; Streptophyta; Magnoliopsida; Poales; Poaceae
Description: long non-coding RNA (TAES_LNC005158)
Source: RNAcentral
GGCCUGGCAUCUCCAUCCCUUCUUUCCCCCGCCUCCUUCUUCCACCUCCGGCCGCCGCCGCGGCCAGGCCAGCGUGGCGGCGCGCCACCCAGCACCUCCACCACGCGCCACCACUCUCCUCCCCCUACACCAUCCAUCCAUCGCAGCCGCGCCACCGCACCAUCACCAGCAUCCACCAUCAUCGAUCCAUCUCCACCUUCACUGCGCCAUCCCUCCACCAUCUCCAGCCACCGUCGUACCUCGCGCGCCCAACCAGACAAAGGGGAGCACAUGCGUCUGGUCAUCCGCGUGAGGGUGCCCCCGUUUUGCUGUUCUCCUUCUCCUGCGCCCUUCUGCUUGCUUCUUCUCCCGAGUCUACUCUGCUUCUUCUCUUCCCUUACCUCUGUUGCUGCUCUUGCUUCUUCUUCUUCCCCACGAACCUCUUGCUUCUUCCUCAACAUGACUUGCUGCUGCUUCUUCUUGCGCCCCUUGUUGCUGCUUUUCCUCUGAAUCCCCUGCUGAACUGAUGCUGCUCCUAAUCUUCUUCUCCAACUCCUUCAGUUCCUUCUCUGAACCUGCUGCCUCUGCUGCUUCUUCUCCGGGACCCCUUGCCACUGCUUCUCUCUGAACCGAACUGCUGCUGCUCCCUCUCCCAUGAACCUGCUGCUCUCUCUCUCUCUCUCUCUCAAAUUUCUGUAACCUUGAGUAGUGUAAUGUUCAGAGUAGUGUAAUGUUCAGAAUUGUGUAAUAUUCAGACUUGACUAGUUUUAAUCACUUGUUAUUUGUUCAGCUCCGUACUGGUAUAAUAUACUACUUGUUAUGUGACCUGACUUAAUGAUGCCUUCUUAAUUUGGGAGGUGAUUGAUCUAUCAGAAUCUGCUUAUGAGUAUUUCUGUAACAUAUAUGUUCGUGAUAUAUAUUUCAUGUGGUUUCGUAUUUCUGUGAUGUUGAUCAUUUUAGUGCUAGUAUUGUGUCUUGUGUAAUCCAAAUCAUAUAUGUUCUAUGUGUGUGACUAAUUGUCAGCUAGCUGCUUUUAAUAAUUCAUAUUGUUUCUUGUGAAUUUACUAUCGAUGUUAUUCUCUGUAGAAGUAAGAUGUAUGAACAUUUAAUUUCCAGUCUCUGUGUUAACGAUGUUCAUGUGAAAAUAUAUAUGUUUGUGUUGUUAUAUAUUUCUGCCCCUGUCGCACUAGCUUGUUUCUUCCUCCUGACAUCUGCAUGCUAGUUAUAUAUGUCCAUGUAUUUUGACUUCCCUUAUCAUUGAUGCUAGUAUUGUAGUUCUCUAGUAGUUUGAAAAUACCAAUUAGAGAGUGAGUGUCAACCUUAAUUUCCCUCUGUUGUUUGUCAUCGUCCUUGAUUAUUUUAGGUUUAUAUUUUCUUGCGAUCAUCACCCUUAUUGUGUUAUCUAGCUUUCGUCGAGCAUAGUUGUCAUCGCCUAGUCCCUGUGGAGAACACGACAUCCGUAGUUUGGGGCAUAAAAAACCCGCUAUAUUAUAAUUGACCAUUUUGGCGCCGUUGCCGGGGAAUAGCAUCGAGCGAUUGUGUGAAGCUAUAGACUAGGCUUAGUAUAGUUUUUGUUUAAAUUUCCAGUCAAAUUUAUUUCUGUGUUUCUUUUACCUUUUUACUUUUUGUUGCUUCGGCUUAUUAGGGUACUAACCCUCUCACCAGUCUUUGAUGUUUGUGAGCGUGUGUAGGAUAUCUUACUAUUUGUAGGCUGAUUGACAGUUGUGCUUGAAUAUAUGGCUUUAGUACGUGAUCUUUGGUUGCCAAGUAGCUUGGGCACGAUGAAAGGGCCAAUUUGGCCAUCUAUUGAGGCCGAAAAUUUUGAGUUGAGGCCUGGACUUAUUGCUCUCGUCUUGCAGAAUUAGUUUAGAGGAUUACCCAAUGAAGACCCUCAUGAGCACAUUUGUAAUGUCCUGGAGUAUGCCAAUACUGUGCAGUACCAUGGCGUUUCCCAAGAUGCUAUCAAGUGUAUGCUGUUCACAUUCUCUCUCAGAGAUGCUGCUAAGGACUGGUACUAUUCUUUGCCAUCAAUAUCAUACACUUGGGGUGAUAUUUCGCAAGCUUUCCUGCAUAGAUAUUUUCCACUUUACAAGCAAGCUGCAAUUCGUGACCAGAUCCUCAGUUUUGCGCAAGAUGGAAGUGAGAGCUUGUAUGCAGCUUGGGAGAGAUAUAAGUAUUUGCUUAGAAAAUGUCCUAAUCAUGGGCAAAAGGAUCGGUUGGUGCUCCAGAUAUUCUAUAGAGGGCUGACACAUGCUUCGAGAGAUCUUAUUGAUAUGUCCGCUGGUGGAACAAUCAUGAAGAAGACCAUUGAUGGUGCAAUUAUUCUCAUUGAGAGCAUUUCCUUCCACCAAAUGCAAUGGGGUUAUGAAAGGCCCAGUUCAAAUCCGAAGGUUGCAAGCCAUCUGCAAUCAGAAGCUGUGUGUUCCAUAAGUGAACAGAAAUCAUCGAUGGUGCCUAAUAUUCAAAACCAGCAUGUUCCAUUCCGGGGACAACAACAUUUCAGAGCUGAAUUAGAUCCUCCAUGUAGAAAGAUUGAUCUUACUUCAAGUAUCCUUGAUGAUGAUUAUGAUAUUUUUCAAGAUGAUGCAACCAUUGUAGAUCAGAUGGAAACCACAGUAGCAGAUCCAAUACCUCAAUGCAAUGAAACUGUCCAGACUGAGUCAAAGUUGCAAGAAGAUGUUUAUGAGGAACCUACUCUGAUUGAUGCUAAGUUGAGACAACAAGAUAUGGAGAAAUUCACUUGUGUUAGUCAACUACGUGACUGGUGGAAUUUAGUCGUGGCACCAAUUGCCCACACUUGUGUUACAACUGUAUCUGGGAUAUUUGUCAAGAAGAAAUCAUUAGCUCCACCGGUGGUUGCCUCUAUCUCAGUUAAAGAGAGUAUCUCAGAGAAGAAUAGUGAAGAUGAGAUUCCAACUCCUGCACAUACAUCUAAGCAAGUCGGAGACAUUCCAAGGAGAGAGAUACAAGAGGUUGAGUCAAAUUUAGAAGAGUUGAUACUUCAAUAUCCUGAGAAGAUCCCACGUGUUGCUGAGCUGCAUGACUGGUGGAAGUCAUCAGUGUCAUUGUUGAAACUCAACAGUGAUGGUGAUGAGGAGAAUAUUGCUCAGAAAGACAGCGAGGUAGUGAUCUCAGCACCCCUACCAGAUCAUGUUAGUGCAUAUUCACAGAUGGGGACACUUCAGACUCAAUUAGGUGUUGCUGGUAGUAGCACCAUAGAAGAUCCAGAGGAAGAGAGAUCUCAACUUGAAGAAGAAAUACUCGAAGACGAGGAACAAGAUGAUCCAAAGCUCGAACAACCAAGUGAUCAAGUUGAAGAGUCAUCAUCUACUACUCUUGAAGAAGCAAAAGAAGUUGCUGUAGAUGAACUUGAAGAACCAGAAAUUCAUUUGCCUAUUGUCAUACAAGAGCGUGAUGUAGCAGGUUUAUCUAAUCCUCUUGAUGACAUGCGUCCCUAUGACUUAUUUGCUUCUACCUUGCAUUACAUGAUACCAUCAAUUAAGGUAGAUUUGAAAAAGUAUUUGCUUGGAUAUGAUCAUAUAUACCCUGUUAGUGGCAUUACUCACAUUAGUGAUGAUCACAUUUACUUUCCUCGUGCUAGACCUAUGCUUUAUGAAACAUAUCAUUCCCAUGCUAGUCUUGAGCUUAAUGAUAAAUAUCAUCCUCAUGUUAGUGUUGACCUUGCUGAUUUCUACCAUCCUAAACAUGUGCUUUAUAGCUAUGCUUAUGUAAUUGGAUAUUCGAUUGAUGACUUGGAGGGUAUUAUCCCUACCACUUGCAUUGUCUCUUUCGUUGAGUGUUCUUUCAGGUUUUUGCUUCUGCAUCGUUCACUUCAUGCUGACCAGGUUUGAGGUGACAUUCCAUGGGAUCCUGGUGGAUUCACGGCAUGGUGAAGAGGAGAAGCAAGGGGCACACACGAAGAAGAGUGAAGCUGGAGCAUCCAUGAGGAAGGAAAGGAGAAGAGUUGCAGUUGGUGAGGUGAUCAAGCGAGUGCUACUUCAUUAAGCCCGGUGAGCUGUUUCAUGAUCCAUUCUGAAUAUCAUAAAUACAUGCUGAACUCAAUUGCUAGUUGGGUUGCUUGAGCCAGUUAUUACUUGUUGUCAAGCUGAAUUUCACCUUUGGCAUUGUGCUUGAUGUGAAUUUGUCAACUUGAUUUUUGAAUGCCUUGUAAACUAGUGAUCUACACCAUGCAUGCUUUGCUGAAAUUAGUGAAAAUUAUUAGUUUUGAGUGCUCAAAUCCCUAGUACACUAGAAAACUUGAUCAUUUUCUGUUUUUACCUUGAUACACCUAGAUCACCAUGUUUAGAUGCUGAAUUUGUGCUAAGUGUGUUCCCAUUGAGAGCAAUCACCUAACCACUAUGGAUUAGCAUGCUAUGUUCCCUGGAUCGGUAGCAUGUGAACCAGACAUGGAGAAGUGAUGAUUCCUGUUUUUGUGCUUAUGCGUUGUUCAUUUAAGAUAAGUAAUAUUGAAUAAAUAAGUCUGGUCUACCUACAGUAGCAUGUCAUGUUCCUUGGAUCGGUGGCAUGUGAAAUCUGGUAGCUUGGACAGUAAUAAAUAAAUAAAAAUGUAAUUGUCAAACCAGGUGUAUACCAUGUUCUCGAGAUCGGUGGUAUGUUCCUUUGGGGAGACAAACAAAAACAAACUAAUAAUUGGUCGAGCCAGGUGUAUACCAUGUUCUCGGGAUCGGUGGUAUGUUCCUAUGGUGAGACUAAUAAUAAUAUCAUCAUUGCUUUAUCUUUGUAAAUAAGUGAUUUGAUCAAAAGAUUUAAUUCCAGUUCAUUUUGCUCUUGGGAUCAUGCUCUCUUUAGGAACCAUUUGGCACAGUCAUCAUUUAAACUUGUUGAUCCUCUUUUAUCAUUGUAAAAGUUUAAAAUGGUCAUGCUUACUAGUAUCCUACUGCUUUGUAGCACUCUUAACCAUCAAUUUUCACUAGCUAAGUCCAAAAGCAUGCAUUGUUUAGAGAUCUACUUCACUUGGACAUUCUUUACUCAGUUCACUGUUCACAUUCUUGCUCUUGUCAUAUGCCUUUGCUUGAGGACAAGCAAAGAUUUAAGUGUGGGGGAACUUGAUAAGUAUAUUUCACAUAUAUAAUUUUGGUACUCAAAUAUAGCAUCUACCGUGACAUAUUCGUCCAUUCCUGCCAUGAUUGAUUGAAUAUUGCUUGAUAAUCAUCAAAAAGGAUCAUUUACUUGUCUUUGGUCUAUCUUGCAGAAAUGUGCGCAAAGGCACUAAUAAUCGUCAAGAUUCCGUCUAUGUAGCUAUCAAGAAGAGUGAAGAAGAGAAGAGAAGGAAGAAGAGACUUGUGUGAGAUGAAGAGAAGUAACCAGGGGGCCAGAUAAAGAAGUGGGAGGACCUUCUUGUGAAGAAAGAAGAGAAGUAGGAGGGCUAAACAACAAGAACGCAGAUCUGAGGAGAGGAACUAAAUCCCUAGCGCAGCUUCCAUUCCCAAAAUCGGGCCUGGCAUCUCCAUCCCUUCUUUCCCCCGCCUCCUUCUUCCACCUCCGGCCGCCGCCGCGGCCAGGCCAGCGUGGCGGCGCGCCACCCAGCACCUCCACCACGCGCCACCACUCUCCUCCCCCUGCACCAUCCAUCCAUCGCAGCCGCACCACCGCGCCAUCACCAGCAUCCACCAUCAUCGAUCCAUCCCUCCACCAUCUCCAGCCACCGCCGUACCUCGCACGCCCAACCAGACAAAGGGGAGCACAGGUGUCUGGUCAUCCGCGUGAGGGUGCCCCCGUUUUGCUGUUCUCCUUCUCCUGCGCCCUUCUGCUUGCUUCUUCUCCCGAGUCUACUCUGCUUCUUCUCUUCCCUUACCUCUGCUAUUGCUCUUGCUUCUUCUUCUUCCCCACGAACCUCUUGCUUCUUCGUCAACAUGACCUGCUGCUGCUUCUUCUUGCGCCCCUUGUUGCUGCUUUUCCUCUGAAUCCCCUGCUGAACUGCUGCUGCUCCUAAUCUUCUUCUCCAACUCCUUCAGUUCCUUCUUUGAACCUGCUGCCUCUGCUGCUUCUUCUCCGGGACCCCUUGCCACUGCUUCUCUCUGAACCAAACUGCUGCUGCUCCCUCUCCCAUGAACCUGCUGCUCUCUCUCUCUCUCUCAAAUUUCUGUAACCUUGAGUAGUGUAAUGUUCAGAGUAGUGUAAUGUUCAGAAUUGUGUAAUAUUCAGACUUGACUAGUUUUAAUCACUUGUUAUUUGUUCAGCUCCGUACUGGUAUAAUAUACUACUUGUUAUGUGACCUGACUUAAUGAUGCCUUCUUAAUUUGGGAGGUGAUUGAUCUAUCAGAAUCUGCUUAUGAGUAUUUCUGUAACAUAUAUGUUCGUGAUAUAUAUUUCAUGUGGUUUCGUAUUUCUGUGAUGUUGAUCAUUUUAGUGCUAGUAUUGUGUCUUGUGUAAUCCAAAUCAUAUAUGUUCUAUGUGUGUGACUAAUUGUCAGCUAGCUGCUUUUAAUAAUUCAUAUUGUUUCUUGUGAAUUUACUAUCGAUGUUAUUCUCUGUAGAAGUAAGAUGUAUGAACAUUUAAUUUCCAGUCUCUGUGUUAACGAUGUUCAUGUGAAAAUAUAUAUGUUUGUGUUGUUAUAUAUUUCUGCCCCUGUCGCACUAGCUUGUUUCUUCCUCCUGACAUCUGCAUGCUAGUUAUAUAUGUCCAUGUAUUUUGACUUCCCUUAUCAUUGAUGCUAGUAUUGUAGUUCUCUAGUAGUUUGAAAAUACCAAUUAGAGAGUGAGUGUCAAC